GCUUAAUCCAACCCGACUAUAGAAUAUUCUUUUUCGGGUAAUAUGAAAUCCGAUGCCUUCAGGGUGUAAGCAGAAGGCAAGAGGGCCUGCUCUGCAUGCAUAAUCCCCGGAUGCAUCUGAACUAACACAAUGGGGCCCGGGGCCCCCAAACCUAAGGGACAACUUGUGUACUGAUUGCCUACCCUCCAGGUGCCCUAAGCCACAACUCGCCGCAAGGGUCACCGUCGCAGUACGAACGAUUCCGAAUGACAACGCCUGCGGCGCAUCGGGUAGGCCUUCCCGCCAAGUUUCUGUGUGCAGAUAGUGGCCUACCCUUAGCGCCUGAGCGGCGAUAUCCCCUGCUACCCCCUGCUCUCGUCAACAGAAGUGGACGCACAUACCCUGCAACGAGACUACUACGGGCAACCGGCAACACUUGUUGUUUCGGUAGGCAUGGUUGUGCCACGGAGUAACAUAGAUGGAGCCUCGGCUGUGCCCGGUCCCGGUGUCCGAAUGAAAGCGGGACCCGACUUUCGUCCGUGAUCCGGAGUCUACGGAGCCUGCCACAGAGGGCGUUGGGAGCGCUAUGGCUUGGAUUUAGCAGACAGUGUCAACAGCCGGCUCUUGUUCGCUAUGUUUUGAUCUCCCAUUGUAUUGUACAAUUGCCACACAUUCGUUCAAUGAUACGCCGCUAAUUGCAUGUCUUGAAGUUGUCACAUAUCUGCGUUUACUAUCGGUCCGAUUUUGGCAUGGUUUUGGUUGAGAAACCAGAAGAAACGUGAAAGAACUGUCAUCAAAAGUGCAAUGAGCACAAUGAGCAAAAUGAUCACAGAGUUUGGUGUUAAAGGUUGUUGCAAUUUUCUUCUCAUUCCAUUAUUCCUGAAAUAAAACAGAUGUAAACAGUUCAAAGAGAACUGUAGUAUUCAUAGGCUCUAGAAGUGUCAACAGUAGAAAUAUAUCAUAUAUCAUAACAAAGCAUAAGAACAUUUUGCUACGUCAGGUUAGCCUGCUUUCGGAACCCUUUUUGUGCUUUACGGACCUCUCUUGUACGAAGAUUCCACCUUCUCGUUACAAAAUGCAGCCUCAUAAUUAAAUAGUGCUUGGUUUGAGCAUGAGGAAACAUUCUUCUCUGAUCUAAUUAUCUACUUAUAUAUUUAUGUAUUUAUUUCCCACAUCUCUUUCUCUAUCUAGAUUCAUCUACAUAUCGAUCCUUGGAUUUUAUUUGCAGUGACUGGAUGUGUCCCCAUGCCCCACGACUAAGAUGACCAAAACUAAGUACUGUUACCCCACUAUAACCAUUGUCCAAGUCAUAUCUCAUUUGGUGCCUGAAAAACCCUAGGUUUAGGCAAACCAUUCGCCUCUAAAUACUUUUGGUACUUCACACUU
Molecule: long non-coding RNA, 1365 nt
Organism: Frankliniella occidentalis (western flower thrips)
Lineage: Eukaryota; Metazoa; Arthropoda; Insecta; Thysanoptera; Thripidae
Exons: 2
Source: RefSeq, a predicted model, not a curated record